UCCGCCUAUAUCAAAUGUCUACGUGUUUGCUGCGGCCGCCCUCCGCUCUCUACGCGCUCGUUGGCUCACAUGUUUGAAUUAAUAACUCGAUUAAACAAUUGGUUCGAGUUGUAUGCGAGGAUUUAAAAACAUCGUGUAUAAGACUAAUAAGACAAAUCUUCAGCAAUGAAUUAGCCAUGGAAUACAGCUGGUAUGGAAUGAAAAAGAAAAAUGUCUUCAGCAACUUACAAUUGUGUAAAGUAAUUAUAUGUGUGAUAAGAAAGUCGCAUACAACUGCAACAGACGAACAAAUUUCUGCUCCCAUCAAGAUCUGG
Long non-coding RNA from Harpegnathos saltator (Jerdon's jumping ant), 314 nucleotides. RefSeq lists it as uncharacterized. Lineage: Eukaryota; Metazoa; Arthropoda; Insecta; Hymenoptera; Formicidae. The transcript has 3 exons. The record is from RefSeq and is a predicted model, not a curated record.